This 774-nucleotide long non-coding RNA is filed under the name Ananas comosus (pineapple). RNAcentral describes it as "long non-coding RNA (ACOM_LNC004004)". The record is from RNAcentral. Lineage: Eukaryota; Viridiplantae; Streptophyta; Magnoliopsida; Poales; Bromeliaceae.
AUGAGAGCUUCCGGUGAUGGUGGUGAUUGCGGGUAGAGAGCGAGGAAGAGAUCGCGAUAGCUAAAAAGAUGCAGAAAAUAAAAAAAAAAAUAAAAAGAAUAAAAAUAAAUAUAAAGAAAAAAAAAUUCUACAGAAUUAAAUGAAGAAGUAGAGAGAAAAGAAGAAAAUAUAGAUUUUUAAAAGUGGAAUAGUGAUGGAUCCUUGACGGAGGGAGGCUAAAUGCAACAACUCGAAAUGUUGAGAGGCGAAAUAUAGAUUUUUAAAAGUUAGAAAGGAAAAAUAAAAAAAGAAGAAAUAAUCUGAAGAAGAACAAUAAAAACCUCAAAUUAAAAAACAAGUAGUACAUGGUAAUUUCACAAUUAUAAAACUUGUAAAUUUAACCAAAUAAAAUACAUGCAACUAUAACUGUUAUAAUUUCAACUACAUGCAUGCAUUUCAAACUGAAUUCAAAACCACCUACUCUAAUAUCGUGUGAAAUAAUUGUUGUUUUCCAAAAAUUUAAGUUAUAUUGAUAUUUAAUAUUUUAAAAAAAUCAAAAAUAAAUAAAAUAUUUUUGAAUUUUUAACGCGCAUAUUAGAUAGAUAUUAUCCCAUUUGAUUCNGCAUGCAUUUCAAACUGAAUUCAAAACCACCUACUCUAAUAUCGUGUGAAAUAAUUGUUGUUUUCCAAAAAUUUAAGUUAGUAAAUAAUAAUAUUUUUCGAAUCACAGAAAAAAUAUUGAUAUUUAAUAUUUUAAAAAAAUCAAAAAUAAAUAAAAUAUUUUUGAAUUUUUAA